GACGAACGCUGGCGGCGUGCCUAAUACAUGCAAGUAGAACGCUGAAGGAGGAGCUUGCUUCUCUGGAUGAGUUGCGAACGGGUGAGUAACGCGUAGGUAACCUGCCUGGUAGCGGGGGAUAACUAUUGGAAACGAUAGCUAAUACCGCAUAAGAGUAGAUGUUGCAUGACAUUUUCUUAAAAGGUGGAAUUGCAUCACUACCAGAUGGACCUGCGUUGUAUUAGCUAGUUGGUGGGGUAACGGCUUACCAAGGCGACGUUACAUAGCCGACCUGAGAGGGUGAUCGGCCACACUGGGACUGAGACACGGCCCAGACUCCUACGGGAGGCAGCAGUAGGGAAUCUUCGGCAAUGGACGGAAGUCUGACCGAGCAACGCCGCGUGAGUGAAGAAGGUUUUCGGAUCGUAAAGCUCUGUUGUAAGAGAAGAACGAGUGUGAGAGUGGAAAGUUCACACUGUGACGGUAUCUUACCAGAAAGGGACGGCUAACUACGUG
Molecule: ribosomal RNA, 495 nt
Filed under: uncultured bacterium
Lineage: Bacteria
Description: partial 16S ribosomal RNA
Rfam family: Bacterial small subunit ribosomal RNA
Source: RNAcentral